GGGCGUAAAGAGCUUGUAGGCGGUUUGUCGCGUCUGCCGUGAAAGCCCAGGGCUUAACCCUGGGUCUGCGGUGGGUACGGGCAGGCUAGAGUGUGGUAGGGGAGACUGGAAUUCCUGGUGUAGCGGUGAAAUGCGCAGAUAUCAGGAGGAACACCGAUGGCGAAGGCAGGUCUCUGGGCCAUAACUGACGCUGAGAAGCGAAAGCAUGGGGAGCGAACAGGAUUAGAUACCCUGGUAGUCCAUGCCGUAAACGUUGGGCGCUAGGUGUGGGGCUCAUUCCACGAGUUCCGUGCCGCAGCUAACGCAUUAAGCGCCCCGCCUGGGGAGUACGGCCGCAAGGCUAAAACUCAAAGGAAUUGACGGGGGCCCGCACAAGCGGCGGAGCAUGCGGAUUAAUUCGAUGCAACGCGAAGAACCUUACCAAGGCUUGACAUACACCGGAAUGUGCCAGAGAUGGUGCAGCCUUUGGGCUGGUGUACAGGUGGUGCAUGGUUGUCGUCAGCUCGUGUCGUGAGAUGUUGGGUUAAGUCCCGCAACGAGCGCAACCCUCGUUCCAUGUUGCCAGCGGGUAAAGCCGGGGACUCAUGGGAGACUGCCGGGGUCAACUCGGAGGAAGGUAAU
RNAcentral lists this ribosomal RNA (621 nucleotides) under uncultured Actinomycetes bacterium. Its description in RNAcentral is "bacterial SSU rRNA". It matches the Rfam family "Bacterial small subunit ribosomal RNA", at positions 556 to 1177 of the family's 1533-position model. The record is from RNAcentral. Lineage: Bacteria; Bacillati; Actinomycetota; Actinomycetes.